CGUAACAAGGUUUCCGUAGGUGAACCUGCGGAAGGAAGGAUCAUUG
RNAcentral lists this ribosomal RNA (46 nucleotides) under Hennediella stanfordensis. Its description in RNAcentral is "partial 18S ribosomal RNA". Lineage: Eukaryota; Viridiplantae; Streptophyta; Bryopsida; Pottiales; Pottiaceae. The record is from RNAcentral.